This 492-nucleotide ribosomal RNA is filed under the name uncultured bacterium. RNAcentral's name for it is "partial 16S ribosomal RNA". It matches the Rfam family "Bacterial small subunit ribosomal RNA", at positions 29 to 507 of the family's 1533-position model. The record is from RNAcentral.
AGUGAACGCUGGCGGUAGGCCUAACACAUGCAAGUCGAACGGCAGCACAGUAAGAGCUUGCUCUUACGGGUGGCGAGUGGCGGACGGGUGAGGAAUACAUCGGAAUCUACUUUUUCGUGGGGGAUAACGUAGGGAAACUUACGCUAAUACCGCAUACGACCUACGGGUGAAAGCAGGGGAUCUUCGGACCUUGCGCGAUUGAAUGAGCCGAUGUGAGAUUAGCUAGUUGGCGGGGUAAAGGCCCACCAAGGCGACGAUCCGUAGCUGGUCUGAGAGGAUGAUCAGCCACACUGGAACUGAGACAAGGUCCAGACUCCUACGGGAGGCAGCAGUGGGGAAUAUUGGACAAUGGGCGCAAGCCUGAUCCAGCCAUACCGCGUGGGUGAAGAAGGCCUUCGGGUUGUAAAGCCCUUUUGUUGGGAAAGAAAAGCAGCAGGUUAAUACCCCGCUGUUCUGACGGUACCCAAAGAAUAAGCACCGGCUAACUUCGUG